UACGUAGGGUGCAAGCGUUAAUCGGAAUUACUGGGCGUAAAGCGUGCGCAGGCGGUUUUGUAAGUCUGACGUGAAAUCCCCGGGCUCAACCUGGGAAUGGCGAUGGAGACUGCAAGGCUUGAAUCUGGCAGAGGGGGGUAGAAUUCCACGUGUAGCAGUGAAAUGCGUAGAGAUGUGGAGGAACACCGAUGGCGAAGGCAGCCCCCUGGGUCAAGAUUGACGCUCAUGCACGAAAGCGUGGGGAGCAAACAGG
RNAcentral lists this ribosomal RNA (253 nucleotides) under uncultured bacterium. Its description in RNAcentral is "partial 16S ribosomal RNA". It matches the Rfam family "Bacterial small subunit ribosomal RNA", at positions 524 to 776 of the family's 1533-position model. The record is from RNAcentral.